CUCCGUCUUGAUUGAAUAAAGCAAAGGUGAACAGGUGGUAGAGAACAAGUGUGACGCCAGAAAAAAAACACACAUUGGAGCAGUAGGAAGAAAAUUAAAAGAUGAUUAAUCCUUACAAAUAUCAUCUUCUAGAUAAAACCGUAAGAUUGAAAAUAAUAAACAAUUAAAGCCGUGAAAUUACAAUUACCGGGUAAGAUACUUCUGGUCAUAUGUGCCAUACAAAACAUCAUAGUGUCCAUCAUAGGAAUCUAAGAGCUCCAAGUCCCCUGUCAA
This 273-nucleotide long non-coding RNA is filed under the name Linum usitatissimum (flax). RNAcentral's name for it is "long non-coding RNA (LUSI_LNC000756)". The record is from RNAcentral. Lineage: Eukaryota; Viridiplantae; Streptophyta; Magnoliopsida; Malpighiales; Linaceae.